GACGAACGCUGGCGGCGUGCUUAACACAUGCAGGUCGAACGGAAAGGCCCUGCUUUUGUGGGGUGCUCGAGUGGCGAACGGGUGAGUAACACGUGAGUAACCUGCCCUUGACUUUGGGAUAACUUCAGGAAACUGGGGCUAAUACCGGAUAGGAGCUCCUGCUGCAUGGUGGGGGUUGGAAAGUUUCGGCGGUUGGGGAUGGACUCGCGGCUUAUCAGCUUGUUGGUGGGGUAGUGGCUUACCAAGGCUUUGACGGGUAGCCGGCCUGGGAGGGUGACCGGCCACAUGGGGACUGAGAGAGGGACCAGACGGCUACGGGAGGCAGUAGUGGGGAAUAUUGCACAAUGGGCGGAAGCCUGAGGCAGCAGCGCCGCGUGCGGGAUGACGGCCUUCGGGUGGUAAACAGCUUUCGCCUGUGACGAAGCGGGAGUGACGGUAAUGGGUAAAGAAGCACCGGCUAACUACGUG
RNAcentral lists this ribosomal RNA (468 nucleotides) under uncultured bacterium. Its description in RNAcentral is "partial 16S ribosomal RNA". It matches the Rfam family "Bacterial small subunit ribosomal RNA", at positions 28 to 507 of the family's 1533-position model. The record is from RNAcentral.